UGAAGGUAUUCCAUGGCUAUUACAAAGAGGUAAGGAGACAUGGGAUCCUCUUGCCUCAUUUCCCUUCUAGCUUGGAAUAAUUUAGUAAGCCCUUCAUUAAGCAUCAAAGAGUAAGACACAGUUGAUACACAUUCCAUAAUCUAAUCUCAACAAGCAUGGCCUUAAUAAAAGGUCAUUUUAAGGUAUCAUAAGAUUUCCUGUGGUACACUUUAAGAACACAUCUAGGUGAUAUAUUUUUCCUAGUAUACCCAUUGAAUAGCUCAUGACUAAGUAGAACAUUAUUUGUGAUAGAUCUUGUUUUAAUAAAGGUAGACAGUAAGCAACCAAUUACACCAUUCAGCACCUAUUUUAUUCUGUUAGACAGGAUCUUAUCAACUAUUUUGUAGGUGGUGGAACAACAAGUUAUGGUCUAAAUCCCUUAACCUUAUUUGGUGAUGGAACCUUAGGAAUCAGUGUGACAGUUGUGCAGUUCCAACCUCUCUUCAUCUUUCCAGUAUAAAAUAAUGUUGCACAGCUGAAUAGACCUCUGUUCUGAUGAUAGACCACUGCUGUUAGAACAAAUCAAUAGGGUACCCAUCCAUCCCUGGGCUUUUUUAUUUAGGCAUAUUUCUAACCACUUGGUGUAUUUCCUCUGAACUCACCAUUUUUACUAGCUAAAUUUGUUAUUCUCUAGUAAGAAAGACACUACUUUGAUCCCUUCUGAGUUUGGAUAUGGCAUUUUAUUAGCACAAUCACCCAUAAGUGCAGUGAAUAUGUCAACAAAUUCAACCUCUACUUCCUGUGAGCCUAUGAGCUUUGUUCCAAUUUCUAUAUAGAUUGAUAAAAUUGUAUUCUAGGCAGACCUGAUCUGGAGCUGAGCAUGAAAAUAUUUUGUAUUAGCAUCACCAUUAUCAAUCCAACAUGCUCUAGAUUUCUGUCUUAAAACUUGCUCCUCUACUAAGCUUCAUUUUUGAAUAUCCUUUAAAAUAGCCUUUUCCUGGUCAAACAAAUCCUGAUUAUUCAAUUGGAUAGUAACCUGAGCUUAUACUAUUUCCAGUUGUUGUCUAGCCUGGGAAAGAUUUUGAGCAUAAGAAGACAUGUAAGUGUUGAGGUCCUUCACUUGUACUUUGAGUUUCUUAAGUCUCUUCUAGAGGAUAAUCAUAGGGUCCUCUCUCAUAUAUCAACUCCAUACUUUUUGCACACUCUGUUGAAACUCAUGAUGUAGAAAUACUAAAGCAUAAAGUCUGAAAGGCUUUAGAUAUAAGCAUUCUUUGUGUAUACAUUAGACCAAUAUUAGUGAGUGAUCAGACAUUCUCGAGUUCAAGAAAUACACUUCAGUGUGAAAAAUCUUUAUAUCUAUUCAUAAUUACCAAGCACCCAGUCAAUUCUGCUAUAUACUCUAUUUGCAUCCUGCUUUUGUUGGUUCAAGUAAAGUAACUACCCUUUGAUAUCAGUGGUGUUAGCUGCAGAUUAUCUAUCAACUCUUUAAAUCCUUUGAUCUCAUGGUGUGUUACUGGUUGACCUAUUUUAUCAUCAGUGCUCAGGACAUUGUUAAAGUCACCACAUAAUAGCCAGGGUUCAUAAAUAUUCCCACUAAUACAUUGGAUAUCAGGCCACAAUGAUUCUCUUUGAGACAACUCAUUCUUAGCGUAUACAAUAGUGACAAUAGUUAAGAAAUCUAUCGAUACAUUCUGUACCCUACAAUGCACAUAUUGCUCAUGUACUUGCAAUAUUUGUACAUGGAGGUGUUUUUUCCAAAACAACCAGACUCUACCAUUUUCACUACGUGGAAAUUUUUUUACAUAAGACCAUUCUUUAUUAAAUUUUAGAAGUACAUCCUUAGCAUUUCUUUCUUUAACUCUUUUUUCUAAACAACCAAAUACAUCUAUUUUAUUCUUUUUUCAUAAAGAGGAUCACCUCUUUCUGCUUAAAGGGAUUAUUUAACCCUCUUACAUUCUAGGUACAGAUAUUCAUGGAGGUUGGUGAGGUACAACCUGGCUUAGUCUUGAGGGACCAGCUCUAUUAUUUUCUAUUUUAUUCAAUACAUCAAAUUUGUUACCUGGAAACUUGCUUUCCAUACCACUCAUAGUAGCCACUUCAGGUUCAGCUAUCCCAGUAUCUUCCUUCACCUUAUUUUGGUCCUUAACGACAGCUUAAUCUUGUCAAACUAUCCUAGUUGGUAUCAUUUUCUUCCUUCUUUUACCUCUUCUUUUUUGUUUAGGGAGUUUCUUAAAUGCCUCCUCUUCUUGCUCUUUCUAUUUAUCUUGAAUAGGUUCUUUAUUCUUUAGCCAGCAUUCCUCAUCUGUGUGUCCAAAUCUAACAUAAUCAGAGCAGAAUUUCAGCUUUCAAUCAUAUUCAAUCCCUUUCUUAAUGGUACCAAAUGGUGUGUGAAUCUCAAUAGAGUCUAGGAGCAGAUAGGAGAUAUCUACUUUGAUCAAUACUUGAGCAUAGAGAUUCUAUUCAUUUCUACAGUGUACCUAUCAGUAUGAAAGGGUCUUCCAAUUACACUAGCCACCUUGCUUAGUGCCUCCACAGUCCAACAACGCACAGGCAUCCCAGGUAAGUUAACCCAUAGGGGAAUUGUGGUGAUGUAUUCAGUGUCAAAAACAAAAUCCAUUACCCAAUGCUUUAAUAUUAAUGUCUUAUUGUGGUAAGUGCAAGGGCCAGCUUGCAUGACUUUUUUUCUAUCCUCAAUCGAUGAAAAUCGAAAUAUAUAAUAGCCGUCAGCAUGGUACAGGAUUUGGGGAUUUUUCACAAAGUUCCACACUGUAGUUACAAAAUUGUCCAUAAACUUCUCAUAAGGAGUAUCACCAAGUACAUAUGAGUGCAGUCGACCAGUGAUUAUCAGUUGUUUGCAUGUCCUCCAUAAUCAACUUAACCACUUUCUUUUGCUCGCAUUGGUUAGGUGGUUGAUAUGUCAGCAUACUACCUUUGUUUGCACCUCUGUUCAUUGGAGAUUUUGGGACCUCUGUUGUCUUUGUUUUUUGUGUAGCUGGAUUUUCAGAUGUCGAGCUCGUUGAAGAACUAACAUCUGAGAUUUAAAGUCUCUGAGGGGGGGUCACUGUUGAGGUUGAAAUUAAGUUGGGAGGAAGCUACCAAAAGUUAAAGAAGAACAUUUUCGUUAUGUUUCCAUUGCCGUAGUGGCCAUCACUAUCAUGGAGGUCGCCGUAUUACAUCGUCGUCCCAUGUUCGGUGCACGUUAGCUUGCCUUGGCUUAUCGUGUGUCGAAUUUAAUAUUUUUCUUUAUUCAAACAAGUGCUGGUUGGAAUUCGGUCCACGAUUUUCUCAUUUUUUGAUAGGAUAAACCUCAUUAAGUAAAAAUGAAGAUGUUGUGUUGAUAAUGCCCCUAUUUUUAUUUGUUAAUAUUAACUUUUUAAGCUUUGUUUUUUUG
This is a long non-coding RNA of Capsicum annuum, 3370 nucleotides long. RefSeq lists it as uncharacterized. The record is from RefSeq and is a predicted model, not a curated record. Lineage: Eukaryota; Viridiplantae; Streptophyta; Magnoliopsida; Solanales; Solanaceae. The transcript is spliced from 2 exons.